RNAcentral lists this ribosomal RNA (3101 nucleotides) under Tropheryma whipplei. RNAcentral describes it as "bacterial LSU rRNA". It matches the Rfam family "Bacterial large subunit ribosomal RNA". Lineage: Bacteria; Bacillati; Actinomycetota; Actinomycetes; Micrococcales; Tropherymataceae. The record is from RNAcentral.
GAUUCAAGCUACUUUAAGAGCAAAUGGUGGAUGCCUUGGUAUCUGGAGCCGAAGAAGGACGUAGCAAUCUGCGAUAAGCCUCGGGAAGCUGAUAAGCGAGCUUUGAUCCGAGGAUUUCCGAAUGGGGAAACCUGGUGGGGCGCAGCAAUGCGACCCUGUCACUCCCGCCUGAAUAUAUAGGGCGGGCAGAGGGAACGUGGGGAAGUGAAACAUCUCAGUACCCACAGGAAGAGAAAGCAAUAGCGAUUCCGUUAGUAGUGGCGAGCGAAACCGGAACAGGCCAAACCGAUUGAGUGUUAUAGCCGGCAGGCGUUUCUUGAUCGGGGUAGUGGGAUCCUCUAUGUGGUUCUGCCGAACCACACGCGUAGUGCAGGGGUAUAGGUGAAUGAUUUUGAACAGUCAACCGAAGAGGGUGAUAGUCCCGUAAUCGAAAUGCCCCGGUACCGCGAGAGGAUAUCCCAAGUAGCACGGGCCCCGUGAAAUCCCGUGUGAAUCUGUCAAGACCACUUGAUAAGCCUAAAUACUACCAGAUAACCGAUAGUGGACGAGUACCGUGAGGGAAAGGUGAAAAGUACCCCGAGAGGGGAGUGAAAUAGUACCUGAAUCCAUUUGCUUACAAACCGUCGGAGCAGUGUGCGACUUCUGUCGCUUGUGACGGCGUGCCUUUUGAAGAAUGAGCCUGCGAGUUAGCGAUGUGUGGCGAGAUUAACCCGUUGGGGGUAGUCGUAGCGAAAGCGAGUCUGAAUAGGGCGAAUUAGUCGCAUGUCCUAGACCCGAAGCGAAGUGAUCUAUCCAUGGCCAGGCUGAAGCGAGGGUAAGACCUCGUGGAGGGCCGAACCCACUUAGGUUGAAAACUGAGGGGAUGAGCUGUGGAUCGGGGUGAAAGGCCAAUCAAACUUCGUUAUAGCUGGUUCUCUCCGAAAUGCAUUUAGGUGCAGCGUUGCGUGUUUCUUGCCGGAGGUAGAGCUACUGGAUGGCCAAUGGGCCCUACAAGGUUACUGACGUCAGCCAAACUCCGAAUGCCGGUAAGUUAGAGCGCAGCAGUGAGGCUGCGGGGGAUAAGCUUCGUAGCCGAGAGGGAAACAACCCAGACCACCAAUUAAGGUCCCUAAGUGUGUGCUAAGUGGUAAAGGAUGUGGAGUUGCACAGACAGCCAGGAGGUUGGCUUAGAAGCAGCCACCCUUGAAAGAGUGCGUAAUAGCUCACUGGUCAAGUGAUUCUGCGCCGACAAUGUAACGGGGCUAAAGCACAUCACCGAAAUUGUGGCAUCGAUACACAUAGGUAGGCUUUCGUAGUCCAGCCGUAUCGAUGGGUAGGAGAGCGUCGUGUGGCGAAAGAAGCGGCGAUGUAAAUCAGCCGUGGACGCUACACGAGUGAGAAUGCAGGCAUGAGUAGCGAAAGGCGGGUGAAAAACCCGCCCCCCGAAUAACUAAGGGUUCCAGGGCCAGGCUAAUCCGCCCUGGGUAAGUCGGGACCUAAGGCGAGGCCGAGAGGCGUAGUCGAUGGACAACGGGUUGAUAUUCCCGUACCGGCAAAGAACCGCCCAUAUUCCGCGUAGUUUCGUUCAGCAUUUUGCUGUGCUUACGGUACCCCUUUUACGGUGUGCGGGAUAAGUGUUCAGGUGUGACGCAGGAAGGUAGCCAAGCCGGGCGAUGGUUGACCCGGUGUAAGUGUGUAACCCGGAGGGUAGGCAAAUCCGCCCUCCAUCUAAAGGGCCAGGCACGACGCGUAGCGCUUCGGCGCGAAAUUGGUGAUCCUAUGCUGACUAGAAAAGCAUCGACACAAGGUUCUAGCUGCCCGUACCCCAAACCGACUCAGGUGGUUAGGUAGAGAAUACCAAGGGGAUCGAGAGAAUCGUGGUUAAGGAACUCGGCAAAAUGCCUCCGUAACUUCGGGAGAAGGAGGGCCUGAGGCGUGACGAGACUAGCUCUCCUAGCGCUGCAGGGUCACAGAAACCAGUGGGGAGCGACUGUUUAUUAAAAACAUAGGUCUGUGCCAAGUCGUAAGACGACGUAUACAGACUGACGCCUGCCCGGUGCCGGAAGGUUAAGAGGACGGGUCAGCUUUGGCGACGCUCGGAAUUUAAGCCCCGGUAAACGGCGGUGGUAACUAUAACCAUCCUAAGGUAGCGAAAUUCCUUGUCGGGUAAGUUCCGACCUGCACGAAUGGCGUAACGACUUCCCAACUGUCUCAACCGCGAACUCGGCGAAAUUGCACUACGAGUGAAGAUGCUCGUUACGCGUAGCAGGACGGAAAGACCCCGAGACCUUUACUAUAGCUUGGUACUGGUACUUGGUGCGGUUUGUGUAGGAUAGGUGGGAGACUGUGAAGCGGGUGCGCCAGCACUCGUGGAGUCGUUGUUGAAAUACCACUCUGAUCGCCCCGGGUGUCUAACUUAGAACCGUAAUCCGGUUCGAGGACAAUGCCUGGUGGGUAGUUUAACUGGGGCGGUUGCCUCCCAAAAGGUAACGGAGGCGCCCAAAGGUUCCCUCAGCCUGGUCGGUAAUCAGGUGGCGAGUGUAAGUGCACAAGGGAGCUUGACUGCGAGACUGACGGGUCGAGCAGGGACGAAAGUCGGGACUAGUGAUCCGGCAGUGGCUUGUGGAAGCGCUGUCGCUCAACGGAUAAAAGGUACCUCGGGGAUAACAGGUUGGUCCCUCCCAAGAGUCCAUAUCGACGGAGGGGUUCGACACCUCGAUGUCGGCUCGUCGCAUCCUGGGGCUGUAGCAGGUCCCAAGGGUUGGGCUGUUCGCCCAUUAAAGCGGUACGCGAGCUGGGUUUAGAACGUCGUGAGACAGUUCGGUCCCUAUCCGCUACGCGCGUCGGAAAUUUGAGAGGAGCUGACCCUAGUACGAGAGGACCGGGUUGGACGAACCUCUGGUGUACCAGUUGUCCUGCCAAGGGCACGGCUGGUUUGCUACGUUCGGAACGGAUAACCGCUGAAAGCAUCUAAGCGGGAAACCGGCCUCAAGAUGAGAUUUCCAUGCCCUUUUGGGCGAGAGGCUCCCAGUAGAACACUGGGUUGAUAGGCUCGAUGUGUACGCAGGGACUAAAGACCUGUUUAGCUUACGAGUACUAAUAGGCCGAUUGCUUGAAACACA